GACGAACGCUGGCGGCGUGCUUAACACAUGCAAGUCGAACGGAAAGGCCCUGCUUUUGUGGGGUGCUCGAUUGGCGAACGGGUGAGUAACACGUGAGUAACCUGCCCUUGACUUUGGGAUAACUUCAGGAAACUGGGGCUAAUACCGGAUAGGAUCUCCUGCUGCAUGGUGGGGGUUGGAAAGUUUCGGCGGUUGGGGCUGGACUCGCGGCUUAUCAGCUUGUUGGUGGGGUAGUGGCUUACCAAGGCUUUGACGGGUAGCCGGCCUGAGAGGGUGACCGGCCACAUUGGGACUGAGAUACGGCCCAGACUCCUACGGGAGGCAGUAGUGGAGAAUAUUGCACAAUGGGCGGAAGCCUGAUGCAGAAGCGCCGCGUGCGGGAUGACGGCCUUCGGGUUGUAAACCGCUUUCGCCUGUGACGAAGCGUGAGUGACGGUAAUGGGUAAAGAAGCACCGGCUAACUACGUG
This 468-nucleotide ribosomal RNA is filed under the name uncultured bacterium. Its description in RNAcentral is "partial 16S ribosomal RNA". It matches the Rfam family "Bacterial small subunit ribosomal RNA", at positions 28 to 507 of the family's 1533-position model. The record is from RNAcentral.